GACGAGCGCUGGCGGCGUGCCUAAUACAUGCAAGUUGAGCGCUGAAGGUUGGUACUUGUACCAACUGGAUGAGCAGCGAACGGGUGAGUAACGCGUGGGGAAUCUGCCUUUGAGCGGGGGACAACAUUUGGAAACGAAUGCUAAUACCGCAUAAAAACUUUAAACACAAGUUUUAAGUUUGAAAGAUGCAGUUGCAUCACUCAAAGAUGAUCCCGCGUUGUAUUAGCUAGUUGGUGAGGUAAAGGCUCACCAAGGCGAUGAUACAUAGCCGACCUGAGAGGGUGAUCGGCCACAUUGGGACUGAGACACGGCCCAAACUCCUACGGGAGGCAGCAGUAGGGAAUCUUCGGCAAUAGACGAAAGUCUGACCGAGCAACGCCGCGUGAGUGAAGAAGGUUUUCGGAUCGUAAAACUCUGUUGGUAGAGAAGAACGUUGGUGAGAGUGGAAAGCUCAUCAAGUGACGGUAACUACCCAGAAAGGGACGGCUAACUACGUG
Molecule: ribosomal RNA, 497 nt
Filed under: uncultured bacterium
Lineage: Bacteria
Description: partial 16S ribosomal RNA
Rfam family: Bacterial small subunit ribosomal RNA
Source: RNAcentral